AACCAGCUUAUCUAGUGUUGUGAUCUGAUUAUUAGGCUUAUGCAUUCAAAUAUUUGGAUCAAAUUUUUAACCAUAAGAAAAAAUAAAUUAAGAUAUUCAAAUGUUUUGAUGUUUUCAAAUGCUUUUAUUUUUAUUCUUUGUUUACACUUAUGACCAUAAUAGCAGUGACAUGAUACAUAAAAUAAACCCUUGUUGUCUUUUUGGCUAAGAUGCUCAGCCAAGUUUACUCGCGUUCCUGAGCAUUUUAAAGUGAUCACUUCGCCCUAGAUUUACAGACAGUGCGCUGACGCUCGGAUGCUGAUGGCAGACAAACCAAACAGUGAGAGUACAGGGCAUGAACGUAAGCAAACCUGUGAUUAAAGCACCUGAUUCUUUCCACAGGUGAGGUUUGCGCUGGAAUGUAAGGAGAGCCGUGGGCCUCACCUGCUGCUGCUGUUGCUGGGAGUGUACAGACAGAAACAGGGAGGCACGGUGGAAGGCGAGUGGGCGGGGUUUGCUCCAUUUUCUCUAUCGGUCCGAGAAGUUAGCACCAAAUCACAGGAGUCAGGUGUACCUGGAGAAACGCCGUCGUUCAGAGCAGCACGUUUGCGGUUUAUCCCGGAUUUACCUGCCGGCGAGAAUGCGCCAAUGAUCCGCUGAAGCCGAGAAUCGUAGCUACGCAUCAACUAAUCAAUAACAAUGAAGAAGGGGUCGCUGAAUUUUCUGGGUCGAAAGAGUCAUUCUCUUUUCGACACCAAUGUCAAAAUGAAGGAGAUGGACAAUGCAGAGUUGGUCCUGGGGUCAUCUGCAACUCCUGAGUCAGGGACUGCGAGCGUGCGGGCCAGACCCACAGUAAAGCAUUAUCCUUCCUCGUCUGAGAGUUUCCACGGCUUUGCUGUCCCAACGCCAAAAGUCCCUCUCCUCCCCCCUGUCAAUGGUCCAAAGAUCAACGGUUCAGUUGGUGGAGAUCUGUUGUCCAAUGGCUCCGUUACUUCAGUGCCUAACCUUGAUAAAGGAGAAAUAUUUGUUCCUCCUCCUCCUUCUGUAGCACCUCCACCACCUCCAAGUGAUUUUAUUCCACCUCCACCAGACUUCCUGGGUGAUUUAAACACUCUAGAUCCAGCAACCCUACAGCCUCCUUCCAUGCCCGCACCAAACCCUCCUUCAGUAGAACCAAAGGAUUUAUCGUUCCUAAAACCACCACCAAUGGCUCCACCAAAGCCUCCGUCUACCACUUCUACUGGCUCUGCAUCAUCCAUACCCAUCUCUAGUCCGCCGUCAGCUCAAAUUCCAGAGCAUCCAAAAUUUGCUGCCCCACAGCCCCCUACUGAAAGGCAACAGAAGACUCAGAAGAAACCUCCUCCAAAGCCCAUUAGAAUUUCCUCAGUCUCCAACUCUGACUCCCCCCCACAGACUCCUGCACCACCACCCCCUGUGCAGACACCCACAUUGUCCACCUUCAAUCCCCAAAACACAGCAAAGGUUUACACUGCUCCUAAAACCUCAUUUUUCAAUGUGCUUGAAGACCGUGACAAAAAACCUAAGCACAUGUUACUCCUGGAAGAUUCUGGGUCUUCCAGCUCUGGCCCUGUUCUUGUUCAGGUGGAUGGCAAUGCUCCCAAAGUGCCUACACUAUCUAAACCAGUUCCCAAUGUAAAGGAGCUGGAGGAGAAUUUACAAGUUGCCCAACCUUCUGAAUCUACCCCAUUUGAGCAAAAGACAGUGACUAAGACAGAGACUAAGACAAAGGCUAAAACAGAGACAAUUUCAGUGCAACCAGAAAUAACCAACCCAGUGCAGCCACCGCUUCAGAAGUCUCUACAGCUUGAUGAAGUUGACAAUACUCUGAUUAAUUUAGAGACCAGCAAGGACAAACUUGGAGAGAACCAAAUUCCAAAAGCAGAAAGUCCAAAAGCAGAAAAUUCUAGAGAGUACCAAAGUCCAGCCCCAGUCAAACCAGGAGAGUACCAAAGUCCAGCCCCAGUCAAACCAGGAGAGUACCAGAGUGCAACCCCAGUCAAACCAGGAGAGUACCAAAGUCCAGCCCCAGUCAAACCAGGAGAGUACCAAAGUCCAACCCCAGUCAAACCUGGAGAGUACCAAAGUCCAACCCCAGUCAAACCUGGGCGGUAUCAAAAUCCAAACCAGAAAUACAGUCCGAUAUUGGAUCAUAAACUACGUAGCCUGAAAGGAAGUGAAACCCACGGAGCACGAGACGGCCAUGCGGCUUCUCCACUGGCUCUUCUAAAGGCAGCUAAAGAAAGAGAGAAAAACAGAACGACGCACUCUAUUUCACGGGAAAACAGUGGAAAGAACAAUGAGCAGCCAAGUAUUCACUCAAGUGACCUUCCAAGUUCUGGCUCUUCAGCUGUAAAAUUGACAGAAAAAAUAUUACCAGAGACUCCAAAAUCCUUCAGUCCAGUAGACCGUCCACAAACAAAUGAUGCUCCUGAAACUUCAAGCAGUCAUGCACUGGUCAAUGGUCAGGCACCAUCUACCAGUCCAGCUCUCAGCAGGAUCAUAGAAACCCCUACUGUUAGCAAAAAAGCAGAGGAGAGACAAAAUGCAUAUCAAAGCAGCUCACUGUCUCAGACUCCAAAACCUGAGGGCAAUAAAGAUGGGUUCAGCAUGCCAUUACUGCCUCCACCACCAGAGUUUGAUGAUUUAAACAAAAUUAUGGACCUGCCACCUUCCAUCAUUCCACCGGACCCUCCCACAAAAAAGGCACCAUCACCACCUGUAACCUCUCUUUCUCCUGCCUCAGUUCAGUAUCCUUUGAAUAAGACACAGCCCUCUGCAAGUCCUCCCUCUUCAGUUCCACCUCCUCCUCUGAAGACAGCACCCACAGCUUCAGUUCCACCUCCUCCUCUGAAGACAGCACCCACAGCUUCAGUUCCACCUCCUCCUCCGAAGACAGCACCUCCAGCUUCAGUUCCACCUCCUCCUCCAAAGACAGCACCUCCAGGUUCAGUUCCACCUCCUCCUCUAAAAACAGCACCUACAGUUUCAAUUCCACCUCCUCCUCUGAACCCCCAACCUCCUAAUGUCCAACCAAAGGCACAAGUCCAGACAAAACCCAAGCCAGACUCCACUCAGCCAGCACGCACUCUGGAACAAAGACAUUUUGAUCUCCAGUGCAUCCUAAAAAAGAAGCUGGAGGAAAUGGCCCCCAAAAUGUCCCACCAAAAGGAAGACGUAGAGCCUUCCUCUGAUGAAUGGGAGGCCAAUGACCAGCUGAAAUCACCAACUACCAAAUAUCACCAGAAAGCAGCAACUCUGGACAUGAGGGAGCUGCAGCGUAAAGUGGACAAAAAAUAUUCAGAUAACUCGUCAACAAAAGUUUUCAGCAGCAAUGGACCGAAGUCUAAAUAUCAACAUGGUAUGACUUUCACAGUUCGGCCUGGAACCAAAAAUCCUAUUACUUAUCAUGAAUAGCGGGGAUUAUUAAGGGUCUUUGGAUUCUUGGACAUGUUGGGAUCUUCAACACAGACUAUGGGAUUCAACGUGUGUGAAACUAUCCUUUUAUCAGCAGCAGUGUGUACCACAGCUGAAAAAGGCAGCUUCACACAGAUUAUUUACACAUUAGUGGGUAGCAAAUAUGUUAAGAAUGCCAGUUGACAAAGGACUGCCGAGUCGUAAAGGCGAACGCGACACGGUCACUGUCAAAUGGUGUUUUCUUUUCCAUUGUGUCACAGUCAGAAAGAAUGUUUUAAACAUUUGUGUAGUUGCUGCUAAUUAUUUAGUCUUAAGCUAUAUUUUGCUAUAUGUUGACUUUUUAAUCACAGCGUUGGGUAAUAUUAUUGUAUAGGUAAACUCCAUUAAUAUUCAAAUAAAAAAAGUUAAAAGUUUUUUAAAAAGUCUUUUAUUGAACAAUGAAAAAUUAUAAUUGUAAAAUAUAGUAAUUUGGAGCAUAACUGUUAUUAUUUCAUGCUGUAAUUACCUGCCAAAUAAUGGGAAAUGUUCUUUCACUGUUACAUCUUGAUUAUGAAAGUCUUAUGGAGCAAACUAGUGGAGGUCUAGUGUGAUUCUCACAUUUAUUUAUCCCAUCAAAUCCUUUAUGGUUUGUAUAGGAUUUUCUAUACCACUACAGUAAAAAGUGUUAAUCUAGUUACGUAUACAUUGUUAUUGAUGGAUAUAUCAAUUUGUAUGAUAUGAAAAUCACAUUUGGACAUUGCAAGAUGUAGUUAUAUGUACAUGUUAAAGUUGUAUAUAGAAAGUCAUCAAAUUAAGAUGUUCAUCUCACUGGUUUCUCUAAGUAGGAAAUAAAUGUAACAAACAGCUGAGUAUUUAAUUGAAUUGCAUUGCGUUUUUUUUCACAACCCCAUUUCCAGAAAAAGUUGAUACGCGGCUUAAUUGUAUGUAAAAACACUGCAGUGAUUUGCAUCAUCCUGGUAAUUAAAGCUUUUAUCUGUGGCUCAGAAUGUAAGUGCAGAUUUAAUAUCCUGGGAAAUUCCCAGGUUACAGUAUUGUUUAGUUUGUGGUUUUAGUUUGUUGUUAGGUGGUUGCUAGACAGUGUGACAUCAUCAUGUGUCAUGCUUAGUUUUUGGGAUAUAAAUUAUGUGUUACUGUUGUGAAAUGAAAAUGAUACAAUACUUUUAUAAGUCUCUUCUAGCUGCGUAAAAGCUACAAAUGUGUCAUUGUGCUACAUUGUCAGAUGGCUGCUAGGCAACACGACGACCUCAUAAUAUUUUAUAUAAACAAGAACCGUCAGGGCCCCAUGAAGAACCUGUGUGCCAACUCCAGAUUGUGUAGGAGCUUGUGUGCAAACAGAGAUUUUUUAUAUUAAAGAUUUAAGCUGGCUAAAGAACUGGUUUAAGUUUUUCCCCCCUUCUAAGAAUUUUCCCAAGUAGCAUCAUGCAAUUAAUUCCAAAAUACUGCUAACAAAGAAAUGUAUCAGAUUUAGUUAUGAGGUAGUUUUUGUUGUUGGUGUGCUUUGUGCUUUGACCAAAACAUGUCAAAGCACAUGUAAUUUAACAGACCACCAUGAAAGCCUUAAAUGUACCAAAAGUUAUAGAUCGUUAUUAUCUACAACAUCAGACCCCACAUUGACACUGUUAGUGAAUGACUGGGGUCUGCUUCAGCCACACCCUUACCAACAGAGUGGUGUAUAUUUACAGGGGAUGUUAUCAAAAAGUUCCAACAAUAAAAUAAGUUCUGCUAAUAAAAAGCAAAAAACAACAACAAAAAGAAACAUACUCAAUUUAAAUUUAGCUACUAUGCUGCUCAAGAUAGUUUCCUUCAUUGCUUCUCCACGGCUACCAUUACUUCUGUGUUGAAAUGUCUUCUGCGCCAAAGUGAACCAUUCUAGAUCUGGAAGAUUUACGAGUGGUUGGUCUGAGGUUAAGAGUAUACCCCAGGAACAUUUUUGUCCUGUUUUUUUUUUUGUUUUUUUUGUUAAAUAUUUACUGGGUAAAGCAUCAUCACUUUCAGUGCACAGUUGUACUGUAACAUCCUGAGGUUUCCCAGGGUGAGCAUUCUUUUCAAAUAAAAACUUUCACUCACA
Molecule: long non-coding RNA, 5482 nt
Organism: Oreochromis aureus
Lineage: Eukaryota; Metazoa; Chordata; Actinopteri; Cichliformes; Cichlidae
Source: Ensembl